UCCGUAGGCGGGCAAUUAAGUCAGAGGUGAAAUCCCACAGCUCAACUGUGGAACUGCCUUUGAUACUGGUUGUCUUGAGUUAUAGUGAAGUAGAUAGAAUAUGUAGUGUAGCGGUGAAAUGCAUAGAUAUUACAUAGAAUACCGAUUGCGAAGGCAGUCUACUAACUGUACACUGACGCUAAUGGACGAAAGCGUGGGUAGCAAACAGGAUUAGAUACCCUGGUAGUCC
RNAcentral lists this ribosomal RNA (229 nucleotides) under uncultured bacterium. RNAcentral describes it as "partial 16S ribosomal RNA". It matches the Rfam family "Bacterial small subunit ribosomal RNA", at positions 568 to 796 of the family's 1533-position model. The record is from RNAcentral.